AAUCUGCAGUCUUGGCCCUGCGCUGGGUUGGCGGUACCCUAGAGCACACCAGACUUGGCAGAGAAAGCAGACUCCAGAGGAAGCUGAGGCAUGCCUGCUCGAGAGGCAGCGGGCCCAUGUGCAAUUUUCCUCUGAUAGGGCCUGGGUACUGUUGCCACGGUGAUAAUGGCUGUGCCGUGUCAUUGUCGAUCCACCAACAGUCAGAGAAGCUUGGCAGUCAAGAUAUUGUUUAGCAGACGGAGCGGUUUCUGUUGGACACUAAGUACUGCUACAAAA
RNAcentral lists this small nucleolar RNA (276 nucleotides) under Mus pahari (shrew mouse). Lineage: Eukaryota; Metazoa; Chordata; Mammalia; Rodentia; Muridae. The record is from RNAcentral.